Molecule: ribosomal RNA, 378 nt
Filed under: uncultured eukaryote
Lineage: Eukaryota
Description: partial 18S ribosomal RNA
Rfam family: Eukaryotic small subunit ribosomal RNA
Source: RNAcentral
CAAUAGCGUAUAUUUAAGUUGUUGCAGUUAAAAAGCUCGUAGUUGGAUUUCGGGUGGGACGCAGCGGUCUCGCAUUGCGUUUGUACUGCUGCAGCCCUCCUUCUUGCCGGGGGCGGCCUCUCGGACUUCACUGUCUGGGGGUCAGAAUCGGCGAUGUUACUUUGAGUAAAUUAGAGUGUUCAAAGCAAGCUUACGCUCUGAAUAUAAUAGCAUGGGAUAACACGACAGGACUCUGGCCUAUCGUGUUGGUCUAUAGGACCAGAGUAAUGAUUAAGAGGGACAGUCGGGGGCAUUCGUAUUCCGUUGACAGAGGUGAAAUUCUUGGAUUUACGGAAGACGAACAUCUGCGAAAGCAUUUGCCAAGGAUGUUUUCAUUGA